RNAcentral lists this ribosomal RNA (421 nucleotides) under uncultured bacterium. Its description in RNAcentral is "bacterial SSU rRNA". It matches the Rfam family "Bacterial small subunit ribosomal RNA", at positions 355 to 774 of the family's 1533-position model. The record is from RNAcentral.
UAAGGAAUAUUGGUCAAUGGACGCAAGUCUGAACCAGCCAUGCCGCGUGAAGGAUGAAGGUCCUCUGGAUUGUAAACUUCUUUUAUCUGGGACGAAAACGGGAUUUUUAUCUCAAUUGACGGUACCAGAGGAAUAAGCACCGGCUAACUCCGUGCCAGCAGCCGCGGUAAUACGGAGGGUGCGAGCGUUAUCCGGAUUUACUGGGUUUAAAGGGUGCGUAGGUGGGCUUAUAAGUCAGUGGUGAAAUCUCCGAGCUUAACUUGGAAACUGCCGUUGAUACUAUAGGUCUUGAAUUAUCUGGAGGUAAGCGGAAUGUGUCAUGUAGCGGUGAAAUGCUUAGAUAUGACAUAGAACACCAAUUGCGAAGGCAGCUUACUACAUAUAAAUUGACGCUGAGGCACGAAAGCGUGGGGAUCAAACA